This 901-nucleotide ribosomal RNA is filed under the name uncultured bacterium. RNAcentral describes it as "bacterial SSU rRNA". It matches the Rfam family "Bacterial small subunit ribosomal RNA", at positions 505 to 1402 of the family's 1533-position model. The record is from RNAcentral.
GUUUCAGCAGCCGCGGUAAUACGUAGGGUGCGAGCGUUAUCCGGAAUUAUUGGGCGUAAAGAGCUCGUAGGCGGUUUGUCGCGUCUGUCGUGAAAGUCCGGGGCUUAACCCCGGAUCUGCGGUGGGUACGGGCAGACUAGAGUGCAGUAGGGGAGACUGGAAUUCCUGGUGUAGCGGUGGAAUGCGCAGAUAUCAGGAGGAACACCGAUGGCGAAGGCAGGUCUCUGGGCUGUAACUGACGCUGAGGAGCGAAAGCAUGGGGAGCGAACAGGAUUAGAUACCCUGGUAGUCCAUGCCGUAAACGUUGGGCACUAGGUGUGGGGACCAUUCCACGGUUUCCGCGCCGCAGCUAACGCAUUAAGUGCCCCGCCUGGGGAGUACGGCCGCAAGGCUAAAACUCAAAGGAAUUGACGGGGGCCCGCACAAGCGGCGGAGCAUGCGGAUUAAUUCGAUGCAACGCGAAGAACCUUACCAAGGCUUGACAUGUUCUCGAUCGCCGUAGAGAUACGGUUUCCCCUUUGGGGCGGGUUCACAGGUGGUGCAUGGUUGUCGUCAGCUCGUGUCGUGAGAUGUUGGGUUAAGUCCCGCAACGAGCGCAACCCUCGUUCCAUGUUGCCAGCACGUCGUGGUGGGGACUCAUGGGAGACUGCCGGGGUCAACUCGGAGGAAGGUGAGGACGACGUCAAAUCAUCAUGCCCCUUAUGUCUUGGGCUUCACGCAUGCUACAAUGGCCGGUACAAUGGGUUGCGAUACUGUGAGGUGGAGCUAAUCCCAAAAAGCCGGUCUCAGUUCGGAUUGGGGUCUGCAACUCGACCCCAUGAAGUCGGAGUCGCUAGUAAUCGCAGAUCAGCAACGCUGCGGUGAAUACGUUCCCGGGCCUUGUGCACACCGCCCGUCAAAC